UACAGAGGGGGCAAGCGUUGUUCGGAAUUACUGGGCGUAAAGGGCGCGUAGGCGGCCUGUUAAGUCGGACGUGAAAUCCCUCGGCUCAACCGGGGAACUGCGUCCGAUACUGGCGGGCUUGAAUUCGGGAGAGGGAUGUGGAAUUCCAGGUGUAGCGGUGAAAUGCGUAGAUAUCUGGAGGAACACCGGUGGCGAAGGCGGCAUCCUGGACCGACAUUGACGCUGAGGCGCGAAAGCCAAGGGAGCAAACGGG
RNAcentral lists this ribosomal RNA (253 nucleotides) under uncultured bacterium. Its description in RNAcentral is "partial 16S ribosomal RNA". It matches the Rfam family "Bacterial small subunit ribosomal RNA", at positions 524 to 776 of the family's 1533-position model. The record is from RNAcentral.